RNAcentral lists this ribosomal RNA (481 nucleotides) under uncultured bacterium. Its description in RNAcentral is "bacterial SSU rRNA". It matches the Rfam family "Bacterial small subunit ribosomal RNA", at positions 29 to 506 of the family's 1533-position model. The record is from RNAcentral.
UUGAACGCUGGCGGCAUGCCUAACACAUGCAAGUCGAGCGGUAACAGGCCCGCAAGGGUGCUGACGAGCGGCGGACGGGUGAGGAAUGCAUAGGAAUCUGCCUUAGAGUGGGGGAUAGCCGGGGGAAACCCCGAUUAAUACCGCAUGAUGUCGAAAGACCAAAGUGGGGGAUCGUAAGACCUCACGCUCUAAGAUGAGCCUAUGCCCGAUUAGCUAGUUGGCGGGGUAAUGGCCCACCAAGGCAACGAUCGGUAGCUGGUCUGAGAGGACGAUCAGCCACACCGGAACUGAGACACGGUCCGGACUCCUACGGGAGGCAGCAGUGGGGAAUAUUGGACAAUGGGCGAAAGCCUGAUCCAGCAAUGCCGCGUGUGUGAAGAAGGCCUUCGGGUUGUAAAGCACUUUAGGCCGGGAAGAAAAAAUCGAACCUAACACGUUCGGUCUUGACGGUACCGGCGAAAUAAGCGACGGCUAACUCUGU